This is a long non-coding RNA of Strongylocentrotus purpuratus (purple sea urchin), 792 nucleotides long. RefSeq lists it as uncharacterized. The record is from RefSeq and is a predicted model, not a curated record. The transcript has 6 exons. Lineage: Eukaryota; Metazoa; Echinodermata; Echinoidea; Camarodonta; Strongylocentrotidae.
UCACUGCGACACAGAUGGUCACUCGGAGGAGUGAUGGUGCCUUCGACGUGACAGCAACCAUAAGCAGAAGGACAAAUCAAUCCGAGUUCCAUUUCAGAUGCAUUGCUUCUGGUCUGGCUGUCAAUGGAACCGCAGAACGUACUGUGAUUGUUCAAAUCAUCAAACCUGUAAAAGAAUCUCUACCAGGUGGAUAUAUCUUCCUUAUUCUCCUUCUUUUUGUGGCUACUUCCGCUUUUCUGGUCCUUGUCGUUUUUAGAGUGUGGAAGUAUCACAAGUUUCACACCCAACCAGAUUGCCCUAUUGACAACCAGGCAUCCGUUGAGUCUCAAGAAAAUGCUAACUCUCGGACCAGACGUGGGUUUAAAUUGAUCAUGACGAAAGAUUGUGUUUGCUGGGUAUUCGGUUGCAAGAAACAGAAGGAUAGAACUCACAAUAAUGGUGAAAACAACCACUGAACGAGGUAGAGACUGAGUUGGAGGACCUUAGAGAGAAGCUGACAAGUUAUAGACCAGGAAAGACCACGGGAAUAGCAGGUGUAGACAUACCUGACUCGUCGAUCCAUAUUGGACUUUUCGGUGUCACGGGUGCAGGGAAUUCAUCCUUAAUCAAUUCACUGCACUUCGCUCUUAGGAAUGAGUACAAGGAUGUCGCCAUCGAAGCUGAUGAUACAUCAGCUGGUAGUCAAACAAAGUUCAGGGAGACGGUAGAGCUAACAGAACACAUACACAUCGUUGACAAUCGAGGAAUGAAGGACUUCAAAAAGAAACAGAUUGAGGAAGACUUGAUGCCUCA